RNAcentral lists this non-coding RNA (211 nucleotides) under Pelagimonas phthalicica. Lineage: Bacteria; Pseudomonadati; Pseudomonadota; Alphaproteobacteria; Rhodobacterales; Roseobacteraceae. The record is from RNAcentral. RNAcentral also lists the same sequence under 1 other name.
UAUCAGGUGCUCGGACUUGGUCCCAAAGCCGAUUUGCGGCGGCGGGGUAAAUGGGAACGCGGUAGGGACAUCAAGUCCUGUCCUGAUCCGAGACUGCCCACGCAACUGUGAGCGUUAGCUGCAUUCCGAAUACCACUGGAGAGAUCCGGGAAGGUGGAAAUUGCCGCGAUGAAGCGCGAGUCAGGAAACCUGCCAGGUACACUGUGACGCC